This 778-nucleotide ribosomal RNA is filed under the name uncultured Neocallimastigales. RNAcentral describes it as "partial large subunit ribosomal RNA". It matches the Rfam family "Eukaryotic large subunit ribosomal RNA", at positions 24 to 649 of the family's 3401-position model. Lineage: Eukaryota; Fungi; Neocallimastigomycota; Neocallimastigomycetes; Neocallimastigales. The record is from RNAcentral.
UAUCUCUGUAGAGUCUGCAUAUCAAUAAGCGGAGGAAAAGAAACUAACAAGGAUUCCCUUAGUAACGGCGAGUGAAGCGGGAAGAGCUCAAAUUUGGAAUCUUCAAGGUUCUACCUUGACGAAUUGUAGUUUAUAGAAGUGUUUUCUGUUAGUGGAGUGGCAAAAGUUCUUUGGAAUAGGACAUCAUAGAGGGUGAGAAUCCCGUAUUUGGUCAUUCCUCCUAGCGUUGUGAUACACUUUCAACGAGUCGGAUUGUUUGGGAAUGCAGUCCAAAAUGGGUGGUAAAUUUCAUCUAAAGCUAAAUAUUGGCGAGAGACCGAUAGCGAACAAGUACCGUGAGGGAAAGAUGAAAAGAACUUUGAAAAGAGAGUUAAACAGUACGUGAAAUUGUCAAAAGGGAAGCGUUUGACACCAGUGUUGUUUUUCCGAAAAUCAAUUACGAAUGUUUUGUUUUUAAGAAGUUAUGACUUCAUCGGCUUGCUUCUUUCUUUACGAAACUUUCUUAAUGCACUUUUCGGUUAACAAGUCAACAUCAAUUUCUUUUGUUGUAAAAGAGUCAUUGAGGAAGGUGGCUUUUCUUUCGGAGAAAGUGUUUAUAGCCUUGUGCUUCUGCAAUCGGAGAGAUUGAGGUCUGCAGCGUAGAUCCUUCGGGGUUAGAUACAUUUGUGCUAAGCUAUAGUUCUUUCAUAGACAACUUGUUGACUAUAGUCUAGUCCUGUAGCUUACUCGCUUAUGCUAUUUUACCUACGCUUAGGAUGUUGAGUAGCGACAUACGCAC